RNAcentral lists this ribosomal RNA (397 nucleotides) under uncultured bacterium. RNAcentral describes it as "partial 16S ribosomal RNA". It matches the Rfam family "Bacterial small subunit ribosomal RNA", at positions 523 to 918 of the family's 1533-position model. The record is from RNAcentral.
AUACGUAGGGGGCGAGCGUUGUCCGGAAUGAUUGGGCGUAAAGGGCGCGUAGGCGGCCCGGUAAGUCUGGAGUGAAAGUCCUGUUUUUAAGAUGGGAAUUGCUUUGGAUACUGUCGGGCUUGAGUGCAGGAGAGGUAAGUGGAAUUCCCAGUGUAGCGGUGAAAUGCGUAGAGAUUGGGAGGAACACCAGUGGCGAAGGCGACUUACUGGACUGUAACUGACGCUGAGGCGCGAAAGUGUGGGGAGCAAACAGGAUUAGAUACCCUGGUAGUCCACACUGUAAAUGAUGAAUGCUAGGUGUAGGGGGUAUCGACCCCUUCUGUGCCGCAGUCAACACAAUAAGCAUUCCGCCUGGGGAGUACGGCCGCAAGGUUGAAACUCAAAUGAAUUGACGGGG